UGGGGAAUAUUGGACAAUGGGCGCAAGCCUGAUCCAGCCCUGCCGCGUGAGUGAUGAAGGCCCUAGGGUUGUAAAGCUCUUUCACCGGUGAAGAUAAUGACGGUAACCGGAGAAGAAGCCCCGGCUAACUUCGUGCCAGCAGCCGCGGUAAUACGAAGGGGGCUAGCGUUGUCCGGAAUUACUGGGCGUAAAGGGCUCGUAGGUGGUUUGUCGCGUCGUCUGUGAAAUUCCGGGGCUUAACUCCGGGCGUGCAGGCGAUACGGGCAUAACUUGAGUACUGUAGGGGUAACUGGAAUUCCUGGGGUAGCGGUGAAAUGCGCGGAUAUCAGGGGGAACACCGAUGGCGAAGGCAGGUUACUGGGCAGUUACUGACGCUGAGGGGCGAAAGCAUGGGUAGCGAAAAGG
This 405-nucleotide ribosomal RNA is filed under the name Actinomycetes bacterium. RNAcentral's name for it is "Actinobacteria bacterium partial 16S ribosomal RNA". It matches the Rfam family "Bacterial small subunit ribosomal RNA", at positions 355 to 776 of the family's 1533-position model. Lineage: Bacteria; Bacillati; Actinomycetota; Actinomycetes. The record is from RNAcentral.